This 253-nucleotide ribosomal RNA is filed under the name uncultured bacterium. RNAcentral's name for it is "partial 16S ribosomal RNA". It matches the Rfam family "Bacterial small subunit ribosomal RNA", at positions 524 to 776 of the family's 1533-position model. The record is from RNAcentral.
UACGGGGGGGGCAAGCGUUGUUCGGAAUUACUGGGCGUAAAGGGCUCGUAGGCGGCCAACUAAGUCAGACGUGAAAUCCCUCGGCUUAACCGGGGAACUGCGUCUGAUACUGGAUGGCUUGAGUUUGGGAGAGGGAUGCGGAAUUCCAGGUGUAGCGGUGAAAUGCGUAGAUAUCUGGAGGAACACCGGUGGCGAAGGCGGCAUCCUGGACCAACAUUGACGCUGAGGAGCGAAAGCUAGGGGAGCAAACGGG